ACUCCUACGGGAGGCAGCAGUGGGAAUGAUUGCACAAUGGGAAACCGGACUGAUGCAGCCAUGCCGCGUGUGUGAAGAAGGCCUUCGGGUUGUAAAGCACUUUCAGUCGUGAGGAAAGGGUUGUAGUUAAUACCUGCAAUCUGUGACGUUAGCGACAGAAGAAGCACCGGCUAACUCCGUGCCAGCAGCCGCGGUAAUACGGAGGGUGCGAGCGUUAAUCGGAAUUACUGGGCGUAAAGCGUGCGUAGGCGGAUGAUUAAGCGAGAUGUGAAAUCCCGGGCUCAA
This 285-nucleotide ribosomal RNA is filed under the name uncultured bacterium. RNAcentral describes it as "partial 16S ribosomal RNA". It matches the Rfam family "Bacterial small subunit ribosomal RNA", at positions 335 to 612 of the family's 1533-position model. The record is from RNAcentral.